RNAcentral lists this ribosomal RNA (397 nucleotides) under uncultured bacterium. RNAcentral's name for it is "partial 16S ribosomal RNA". It matches the Rfam family "Bacterial small subunit ribosomal RNA", at positions 523 to 918 of the family's 1533-position model. The record is from RNAcentral.
AUACGUAGGUGACAAGCGUUAUCCGGAUUUACUGGGCGUAAAGGGCGUGUAGGCGGUCUUGCAAGUCAGAAGUGAAAUUCCUGAGCUCAACUCGGGCGCUGCUUCUGAAACUGCAGGACUUGAGUGCUGGAGGGGAUAGCGGAAUUCCUAGUGGAGCGGUAAAAUGCGCAGAUAUGAGGGAGAACACCGGUGGCGAAGGCGGCGAUCUGGCCAGGAACUGACGCUGAGGCGCGAAAGCGUGGGGAGCAAACAGGAUUAGAUACCCUGGUAGUCCCCACUGUAAACGAUGAAUGCAAGGUGUAGGGGGUAUCGACCCCUUCUGUGCCGCAGUCAACACAAUAAGCAUUCCGCCUGGGGAGUGCGGCCGCAAGGCUAAAACUCGAAUGAAUUGACGGGG